This 492-nucleotide ribosomal RNA is filed under the name uncultured bacterium. RNAcentral describes it as "partial 16S ribosomal RNA". It matches the Rfam family "Bacterial small subunit ribosomal RNA", at positions 29 to 507 of the family's 1533-position model. The record is from RNAcentral.
AGUGAACGCUGGCGGUAUGCCUAACACAUGCAAGUCGAACGGCAGCACAUUACUUUCUUGCUCUUACGGUUGUCGACUGGCGUACUGUUCAUUUAUACUUCGCAAUCUACUUUUUCUUGUGUUUUUACGUAUGGUUACUUACCCUAAUACCUCAUACGACCUACGGGUGUAUUCAUGGGUUCUUCCGACCUUGCGUGAUUUUAUGAGCCGAUGUCGGAUUAGCUAGUUGGCGGGGUAAAGGCCCACCAAGGCGACGAUCCGUAGCUGGUCUGAGAGGAUGAUCAGAAACACUGGAAGUGAGACACGGUCAAGACUCCUACGGGAGGCAGCAGUGGGGAAUAUUGGACAAUGGGCGCAAGCAUGAUACAGACAUACCGCGUGGGUGAAGAAGGGCUUCGGGUUGGAAAGCCGGUUUGUUGGGAAAGAAAAGCAGCAGGUUAAUACCAGGAUGUUGUGACGGUACCAAAAGAAUAAGCACCGGCUAACUUCGUG